GGUUGGAUCAUUAAAGCUCGACUUACCUUAAGCAAGUAGGUCGUUAAACUAAACCAAAAACGUGUGAUUGUUCUAUUGGCGUCACAGCCGAAAGCCUUGGGGGGCUGAGCACCCCCCUUGGUAAGUAACCUGUGACAGUUGUCUCGACUUUGAUUCUGAGCUCACGUGGCAGAGAGGAAGGUCCACCCCCCCCAAGCCCUAUGGGCGAAGGCUGGGGGGACCCGACUCGAUGUUCACAACAAACUUUAAUAACCAUCGGCGGUGGAUGUCUAGGCUAUCAGUUCGAUGACGAGCGCAGCAAAAUGCGAUAACUAGUGUGAAUUGCAGAGUCCGCGAAUCAUCGAGUUCUUGAACGCACUGCGGCAGAGGACUUCGGUCCUCAGCCAUACCUCAUUCAGCGGGUAGUACCAACUGACUUCGUGUCGAGAGACUUAGGCGGGGACUAUAUAGCUGGCCGACCACCGAGACCUUAGGGUCGAGGCGGGAGGCUAGUGUCCCCUCUUCAAGUCAAAGUCCAACCCCUUAACCUGGUGUUCUCGACUCCCCAACAGGAGAAGGUCCUAUGAUAACUUCCUAUCGGGGCGAUCACCACACGCUGACUCUCGAGUCUAAGUGUGAGUCGCUCACGGAUGCUCUGGGUACCCGACACUUGAAGCGGAGAACAAGAGAUACCAGUAACCUACUCAUGCCCCUGAAGUGAGGUAAGACGACCCCGGGGAUUUAAGCAUAUCAAUACCGGGAGGAAAAGAAACUAACUAGGAUUCCCUUAGUAACUGCGAGUGAAGAGGGAAGAGCCCAAGCUGAAUCUGUCUGGCUGCGGCCUGAUCGAAUUGUAGUUUUGUGAACGAGUCCUGGCUUGUGGGUACCUUAAGUCUUCCUGGAAAGGAGCGCCAUAGAGGGUGAUAGCCCCGUUGGGUAUUCCAUAGGCCGUCAAGGUCUUAGUUCGGAGAGUCGUACUCCUUGAGAUCGGAGUGCUAAUCUGGGUGGUAAACUCCAUCUAAGGCUAAAUAUUGGCUGGUAGACCGAUAGUGCACAAGUACCGUGAGGGAAAGAUGCAAAGAACUCUGGAGAGAGAGUUAAAAGUACCUGAAACCGCCGUUGGGGAAGCGGUUGGCUGUAGUCGUUCGGUGUCUUGGUUCACUUGGGGGAAGUAUGGAUGAGGUCGCUUGGACGGGGUGUAAGCCCUGCCUUCGGCUAGAGUCCUGAGGUAACCCAAGGUACUCCAAGGCAUUGACCAGUAGGGGCUGAACAGGGGGGUAAAUAGGGUGUCGGGGAAAGCAGGUCCGCCUGCCAUACCCGGUGUCUGAAGACUCCUCUCUCGGCCCACUAAUGUCUUGAUGGGGGGGCCGUAAGGCGAGGGAAUACUUAGCCUAGGGUGGGUUGCUCUCGUAACUGCUUGCAGGUGCGGGGGUCGCUAUCUUAGGCUGGGGGCUACCUCACCUCCCACAUGCUACUGGAGGCGAAGUCAACUGUCCCGUCUUGAAACACGGACCAAGGAGUCUAACGUCCCGCCGAGUCGAAGGGUGGUAAACCCCUAGGCGAAGCGAAAGCAAAGGGAAUCAAGCUGGCAUUAGCUGGCCGCAAUUCCGUUCUCCCGGGGGGCUUGCUCUCCGGUGGGAAAAGGAGGCGGUACGUUAGGACCCGAAAGAGGGCGAACUAUGCUUGUGUAGGUCGAAGCCAGAAGAAAUUCUGGUGGAAGGUCGUAGCGAUACUGACGUGCAAAUCGUUCGUCAAACAUGGGUAUAGCGGCGAAAGACUAAUCGAGCCCUCUAGUAGCUGGUUCCUCC
This 1787-nucleotide unclassified non-coding RNA is filed under the name uncultured fungus. Its description in RNAcentral is "sequence contains 18S rRNA gene, ITS1, 5.8S rRNA gene, ITS2, 28S rRNA gene". The stretch from base 688 to 1787 matches the Rfam family "Eukaryotic large subunit ribosomal RNA", at positions 1 to 961 of the family's 3401-position model. Lineage: Eukaryota; Fungi. The record is from RNAcentral.